AGAUUGAACGCUGGCGGCAUGCCUAACACAUGCAAGUCGAACGGCAGCACAGAGGAGCUUGCUCCUUGGGUGGCGAGUGGCGGACGGGUGAGUAAUACAUCGGGACCUACCCAUGACGUGGGGGAUAACCUCGGGAAACCGGGACUAAUACCGCAUACGUCCUACGGGAGAAGGCGGGGGACCUUCGGGCCUCGCGCGUCUGGACGGACCGAUGUUCGAUUAGCUUGUUGGUAAGGUAAUGGCUUACCAAGGCGACGAUCGAUAGCUGGUCUGAGAGGAUGAUCAGCCACAUUGGGACUGAGACACGGCCCAAACUCCUACGGGAGGCAGCAGUGGGGAAUAUUGGACAAUGGGCGCAAGCCUGAUCCAGCCAUGCCGCGUGAGUGAUGAAGGCCCUAGGGUUGUAAAGCUCUUUUGUGCGGGAAGAUAAUGACGGUACCGCAAGAAUAAGCCCCGGCUAACUUCGUGCCAGCAGCCGCGGUAA
This 484-nucleotide ribosomal RNA is filed under the name uncultured bacterium. RNAcentral's name for it is "SSU rRNA". It matches the Rfam family "Bacterial small subunit ribosomal RNA", at positions 26 to 523 of the family's 1533-position model. The record is from RNAcentral.